RNAcentral lists this long non-coding RNA (1226 nucleotides) under Manacus vitellinus (golden-collared manakin). RNAcentral's name for it is "lncRNA (ENSMVIG00005018859.1)". Lineage: Eukaryota; Metazoa; Chordata; Aves; Passeriformes; Pipridae. The record is from RNAcentral.
AAUAGAAGGAGUUUGGAGAUAAUACUUUCUAGGGAUUCUGCAGGAUCUGGGUGUGGCCCUCAUUAUGACCUCGCUGGUGAUGUUGGCUCUAACAAGUGCUGGUGUCACAAAGGGCUCUUGCGCGGCUCUCCUAUAAAAGCUGGGCAGCCGCCCCCAGCCCUCAGCCAGAACCACCAUGGCCCGCUACCGCCGGCGCUCCCGCAGGAGCCGCAGCCGGAGCCGCAGCCGCCGCCGUUCACGCCGCCGGGGCGCGCGGAGGAGGCGGCGGGCUGGAUCCCGCCGCUCCAGAUACCGCCGGCGCCGCCGGGGCGGCAGGAGGCGCAGACGCCGCUGAGCCGAGCUCAGGGCCUCGGCCUUACAGAGCCAGAGCAACCAGAGCGCGGCCCUGACGCGGGCCUGGCUCUGCCAAUAAAGCACAGCAAGCUCCCAUCAGAUGAGGGUGUCAAUGGUCCCUGGUGUCCCUUUGCGCCGGCAGCGACUCGCUCAGGGUGUGCUCGGGCCCGCGUCUCUGCUCGCCCGGGCUUUCCCUGGCUCGGGAGAGCCCCCUGGACCCCACUCGGGAGCGCUCCGCUGGGGAUCGGGCCUCUCACAACCAGGACCCUAUGCCGUGAGUGCAUCCCUUGGGACCCAGACCACUCCAAAGCUUUGUCUUCACCUGUGCCAAGAGUGACACGCGGGACACGUUUCUGCCAGUUCAGCAUGUGCAGAGCUGAACUUCCAGUGCCCUUCCUGUUCAAAGCCUUCCGGAGGCAAAAAAGGGGCUGGGGUGAGGGGGAAUGUCAGCAAGUGGCAGCUUAAGUAUUCAAGAAAAGAAAGGACCAGAAAAAAAGUAGCUUCGGCUAUGAUGGUUACAACUGGCAAUCGAAAGAUUCUUGAGAGAUGAGUUGUUGGAACCUUGCAUGUCUCCCUACAGUACUCCUAUUUUACCAAUCAGAAAGUCAGAUGAGACUUACAGAUUACUUCAAGAUUUCAGAGACUUGAAUAAGCUCAUCCAGGUAUGUCAUCUAGCUGUCCCAAAUCCUUAUACCCUAUUGAGUAAAAUCCCCCACAAUCAUGUGUGUUUAGUGUAGUGGACCUUAAAGAUGCCUUCUGGGCCUGUCCUUUAGCAGAGAACAGUAGGGAUAUAUUUGCUUUUGAGAAGAAAAUCCUAUCACAGGAAGGAAGCAGCAGUUAUGUUGGACUUCCUUACGCCAGGGGUUUACAGAGUCUCCAAAUUUGUUUGGACA